Long non-coding RNA from Scylla paramamosain (green mud crab), 2202 nucleotides. RefSeq lists it as uncharacterized. The transcript is spliced from 5 exons. NCBI's taxonomy places the organism in Eukaryota, Metazoa, Arthropoda, Malacostraca, Decapoda, Portunidae. The record is from RefSeq and is a predicted model, not a curated record.
GUGCACGCAGUAUUCAAGAGGACUUCGUAGAGUCAUCAUGUUGCUACUCAGGCGGGAGCGGCAGUGGUGGUGGUGUUGCCUACUCCCCCUGGCGGUGAUGGUGGUGGUCGUGGGGGUAGCGGAGGGGGCGCCCGCGGAGGGGAGACUUCUUGGAUGGGGGGAGGGGGGCAGGGACUCUUGGGGUGGAUGUUCAGGAGUCGAUUAGGAGAGACUUCCGAUGGACCUCUGGAGGGAAGGAGGAGGAAGGAUAAAGAUGAAGCGCCCUUGAUUAAACAGAAGAGUCAAGGAAAACGGACCAAGCAAUACGGAGGAGGAGGAGGAGGAGGUGGUGGUGGUGGUGGCGGUGGUGGCGGUGGCGGUAGUGCUGGUGGUCAUGGUGGAGGAGGAGGUGGUGGUGGUGGUGGUGGAGGAGGCGUGUCCGUAGGAGGAGGAUCUUACAUAAAUAUCGGAGGUGGAGGAAAGCUCCCAUUAAUCGAAUCAGUAACCGGACAACCGAUAUAUGCAGCUGGGCAUUACGUCGGGCCCACCAUCACCAAUAUUAAGCCAGACACUCAAUCCGGCUCGAAUUUUCCUUGGUUCCCCUUCUUCGGCCUCUCCCACGAGUCCUCUCUUAACAUUGAUGGAGGAGGGGGGGGGUUCCAGCCUCUCCAUCCCCUCCCAUGCUGGCUACGUGGAUACACAAACACACAGCAGCAAGCCAUCCCAAACUGAAGUGAUGGUCUUUAGUUAUCCUUCCAUCGUAACCUCUCUCGGGAAAGCCUUCAGUUCUAUGACGAAGACUCUACGUCGUGUAGGUGAAAAUCUGGGAGACCGACUUUCUAACACCUUUGACUUCAGUUCCAUCCCUACACUCCUCGGCCACGGGGUAAAAGCAGUGUUGCCAAUUAAUAACAUAGACGAAAAAUUCCCUAGCGCCAUCCUAGAGAAGCCUACUGCCUCGGUCGGCGGGGUCCUCCUCUUCCUCCUCCUUUGGCUCCAUCUCCGCUCCUUCCAUUAGCUCGUCCUCCUCCCUCAGUCACAGCGGCCCUCUCUCCACCUCCUCAGUCUCCCAUUCCGGCUCGCUCUCCCCGCUGGGCAUUGAUUCAAGCUUACAGGUCAGCAGUAAUUUGAAUACGAACCUCUUGCAGGGUAUUCAACAAGGCAUCAACACUGGUUUGAAAGGAAUCAGCAGUGGAUUGAACACUUUGAGUAAUAUCCCUUCUAAUAUCGCGCAGGGUCUUAGUAAUAUUAAUGCUAACCUGCCAAGCUUAGAUUUAGGUACGCUUUCUCAUCAGAGUAGCUUCAAUCUUGGAGGAGGAGGAGGAGGAGGAAUAGGAGGAAUCAGCUUGGGUUCUAAGCCUGUUUCUGACCCCCAGGCUAACUAUCACAAGCCCCCGCGCUGUUGCUAGUGAUUAGAAUAGCCAUACUAAUUAUCUUUACACAGUUAUUAAGCCUUUAGUAACUCUUAAACGCACACGCUCCAUCUACGCCCAUCGCUGCAUCUGUUGAAGUGAUGCGGGUUUCCAGGCGUGUUUUUUUACGGUUCUAGUGGCAGAUUAAUAAGAUUCCUGCAUUGUGGACAGGGGAAAGAGUCUUGAGAACAUGGCUAAUCGUUUCUGCAGCCUUAGAUAAUACUCGUGGCGGGAAAUCAUGCGUAUUUCAUUGGUUUUAAAUCUUUUUUUUUUUCAGACAAGACGAUUAAUGCAAUAGGCUUGUUUCCCAUUUUCUUUUCCUUUUUGUCCGUUAGUGAUAAUUCUAUAGAUUAUUAUUUUUUCUAUUUUUUGUACUUAACUUUUCCCCACAAACACCAGAUUUAAGUCAAGAUGAAUAUUUUUAAGUUCGUAUCCCCUGCAAUUUCCCGCCAAAUCUAUGCCUCCCCCCCCCCCCGCUAUUCAAAACACGCAAAUUUCAUUCAUAGCCUAUUCAGAUCACUUAAAUAGCACAAAGGAACCAAAUAAAUGCUCUCUAUCUAUCUAUUCUAUAUAUAUUUUUUUUUUAACUGUUGAAACACGCUGCUGGCGGCGUAAAUAUAACAAGAAUAGAAUAGCCUUAAUAUUGUUAUUGUUACUCUUGUUAGUUGAUGUUAUUUAUACCACUGUUCUUGCGUAGAUAUUUACGUUAAUUUAUUUGGAGUUUACUCGUUGCCAUUGUGUGAAAGUCUUUUGUGUAGCUGUUUCUUUUGUUAAGGGUUGUUGUGUUGUAAUAAAAUAAUAUAUUUCUCGC